GAGAAAAUAUAUGUAUAACAUGGGAGAUAAUUAGAUUCUAAACAUUAAAACAUUUGACAGCAAUUGGAUGAUUCAAAACAUCUGCACAAUAAGUUUUACUUCCAUGAAUAUUAUCCAAAGAUUUUCUACCUUUUCUGAAUGUAUCUUUAAAUACUCCUCAGCCUUGCCUAGUCGCUCCUCAAAUACAUCUAUUGCUUCAGAAUCCCAUACCUAUCAAGGGAAACACGUGUAUAUUGCUAUUCAAUUAUAGAAUAAUUAACCCAAAUAGCCGUCCACCCAACCGCUUAAACUAAAAAUAGCCGGUGGAGGUAUAAUGUAUAUAUAAUUUAUGUAUUAUAUGUGUAUAAUUAUGUAUAAUGAAUGUAUAAUCUAUGCAUAUGUGAAAAAAAAGUAAAUAAUAAAUAUGACUGGCUAUUUGUGUAAAGAUCCCUAAAUUAUAAGAUGUUAUAAGAAAAUAAUAACGAUUAAUUAACAAUGAAACUUAUAACAUAACUUAAACACAACAGAUAUUAGAAUAAAUAUAAGAGAUCAUAUAUAUACGUUAAACUAGUUAUAUAAAAGAUUUUACAAAACUUUUAACUAGUACAUUAGCAAAAACUUUAAACUAAUUAUAUAAGAGAUCUAGACUAGUUAUAUAAGAGAUCUUACAACAAAACAUAAGAGAUCAUUAACUUUAAACACAAGAGAUAUUAGAAUAAACAUAAGAGAUCAUAUAUAAACUUUAAACUAGUUAUAUAAGAGAUCUUAGAACAAAACAUAAGAUAUAUUUGAGAAAUAUUAUUAAAUUUAAAUGUAAAAUAAAAAUGAAGAAGAAAAACAACAAUCACAAUCGAUACAAAGUCAUCAAGUUAUAUUUGUGUUUCGAGCAGCAAAUUCGACAUUAAUUGAUAUCCCCAGUCUUAUUGAAUUGUGGAAGUCAAAUUAUUUUACGGGCCUGGUGAAAUAAAAAACUACGAAGAAGAAUUCACAUGGAUUUAGGAAGGGCCUCGAUGAAAACAAGAGAAACAAGAAUUUGUGUUUCAUUUUUCCCAACUUUGACAAAUUCGAGUGUAACAAAAAAAAAAUGAGUUACCUCAUUUUUCCCCAGCUUGGACAAGAAAUAACGGGGAUCUUAGAACAUAGCAGAACAUAAAGAACUAGAAAACACAAAAAAUGGAGAAUUUAGAAGCAACACUCUUUCCGUUGAAAUCGACCGAAGGGUUUUCAAGGAAAGGGUUUUGUCUUUCUAGAGAAGCUUUCCUAUUGUAAAGGAA
This 1253-nucleotide long non-coding RNA is filed under the name Nicotiana tabacum (common tobacco). RNAcentral's name for it is "long non-coding RNA (NTAB_LNC018802)". Lineage: Eukaryota; Viridiplantae; Streptophyta; Magnoliopsida; Solanales; Solanaceae. The record is from RNAcentral.